CCUACGGGAGGCAGCAGUGGGGAAUAUUGCACAAUGGGCGCAAGCCUGAUGCAGCCAUGCCGCGUGUGUGAAGAAGGCCUUCGGGUUGUAAAGCACUUUCAGCGGGGAGGAAGGCGUUAAGGUUAAUAACCUUGCCGAUUGACGUUACCCGCAGAAGAAGCACCGGCUAACUCCGUGCCAGCAGCCGCGGUAAUACGGAGGGUGCAAGCGUUAAUCGGAAUUACUGGGCGUAAAGCGCACGCAGGCGGUCUGUCAAGUCGGAUGUGAAAUCCCCGGGCUCAACCUGGGAACUGCAUUCGAAACUGGCAGGCUAGAGUCUUGUAGAGGGGGGUAGAAUUCCAGGUGUAGCGGUGAAAUGCGUAGAGAUCUGGAGGAAUACCGGUGGCGAAGGCGGCCCCCUGGACAAAGACUGACGCUCAGGUGCGAAAGCGUGGGGAGCAAACAGGAUUAGAUACCCUUGUAGUC
This 465-nucleotide ribosomal RNA is filed under the name uncultured Klebsiella sp. RNAcentral's name for it is "bacterial SSU rRNA". It matches the Rfam family "Bacterial small subunit ribosomal RNA", at positions 338 to 795 of the family's 1533-position model. The record is from RNAcentral. Lineage: Bacteria; Pseudomonadati; Pseudomonadota; Gammaproteobacteria; Enterobacterales; Enterobacteriaceae.